UUUAUAGACCCUGUCAAGAGAUAAGCUGCCUUUGUCUAAGCCUUGAAGCACUGCACCGCUGCAGUGCUGUUGAAGUCAGUUUGAAACUGGCUUUGUUUCCUUAUAGGAUGCCCUAAGCAUCUGUCUGCUGGCCCCAUCUCUAGAGAAUAUGAAAGAAUUCUUCCACUGCAAUAUGUAGAAAUGAUUUUGGCAAGUGACAAGCACUGCCUGUUAGUUGAGAUGAUAAACUAUAAUUACUACCUUCUUGAUAGCUGUGGCCAGGCGGAGUUUUUGCUGCUACUUUUAAAAUAGUAGAACUCUUGUCUUAGACAUAUGUCUGUGAAUGUUGUUCCUUAAGUCUGUAGUGAUUGACGUGAUUGCUAUAAAACUGUAGUCAGUUCAGAAUUACCCUUGAGCAGAUUAUCACAUUGCAAUUGGCCCAAUAUUGCUUUCAAAUUCUAACUGACAUUUUCAUAUACUUGGAGCAUUAAGUACUUUGUUGACAUAAAUAAAACCUUUACUUACUAUCU
This 509-nucleotide long non-coding RNA is filed under the name Bos taurus (domestic cattle). RNAcentral describes it as "long non-coding RNA NONBTAT011504". Lineage: Eukaryota; Metazoa; Chordata; Mammalia; Artiodactyla; Bovidae. The record is from RNAcentral.